Molecule: ribosomal RNA, 465 nt
Filed under: Vreelandella stevensii
Lineage: Bacteria; Pseudomonadati; Pseudomonadota; Gammaproteobacteria; Oceanospirillales; Halomonadaceae
Description: partial 16S ribosomal RNA
Rfam family: Bacterial small subunit ribosomal RNA
Source: RNAcentral
UCUAGGGGUGGCAGCAGUGGGGAAUAUUGGACAAUGGGCGAAAGCCUGAUCCAGCCAUGCCGCGUGUGUGAAGAAGGCCUACGGGUUGUAAAGCACUUUCAGUGGGGAAGAAAGCCUUGGGGCUAAUACCCUCGAGGAAGGACAUCACCCACAGAAGAAGCACCGGCUAACUCCGUGCCAGCAGCCGCGGUAAUACGGAGGGUGCGAGCGUUAAUCGGAAUUACUGGGCGUAAAGCGCGCGUAGGCGGUCUGAUAAGCCGGUUGUGAAAGCCCCGGGCUCAACCUGGGAACGGCAUCCGGAACUGUCAGGCUAGAGUGCAGGAGAGGAAGGUAGAAUUCCCGGUGUAGCGGUGAAAUGCGUAGAGAGCGGGAGGAAUACCAGUGGCGAAGGCGGCCUUCUGGACUGACACUGACGCUGAGGUGCGAAAGCGUGGGUAGCAAACAGGAUUAGAUACCCUGGUAGUC